RNAcentral lists this ribosomal RNA (213 nucleotides) under uncultured bacterium. RNAcentral describes it as "partial 16S ribosomal RNA". It matches the Rfam family "Bacterial small subunit ribosomal RNA", at positions 378 to 613 of the family's 1533-position model. The record is from RNAcentral.
AAACCCUGAUGCAGCCAUGCCGCGUGUGUGAGAAGGCUUCGGGUUGUAAAGCACUUUCAGUGGGGAGAAACACUGACGUUACCCACAGAAGAGCACCGGCUAACUCCGUGCCAGCAGCCGCGGUAAUACGGAGGGUGCAAGCGUUAAUCGGAAUACUGGGCGUAAAGGGCAUGUAGGCGGAAAGGUAAGUAGGAUGUGAAAUACGGGCUCAAC